This 468-nucleotide ribosomal RNA is filed under the name uncultured bacterium. Its description in RNAcentral is "partial 16S ribosomal RNA". It matches the Rfam family "Bacterial small subunit ribosomal RNA", at positions 28 to 507 of the family's 1533-position model. The record is from RNAcentral.
GACGAACGCUGGCGGCGCGCCUAACACAUGCAAGUCGAACGGAGCUGAGAGAAGCUUGCUUUUCUUAGCUUAGUGGCGAACGGGUGAGUAACGCGUGAGUAACCUGCCCUGGAGUGGGGGACAACAGUUGGAAACGACUGCUAAUACCGCAUAAGCCCACGAUCCGGCAUCGGAUUGAGGGAAAAGGAUUUAUUCGCUUCAGGAUGGACUCGCGUCCAAUUAGCUAGUUGGUGAGGUAACGGCCCACCAAGGCGACGAUUGGUAGCCGGACUGAGAGGUUGAACGGCCACAUUGGGACUGAGACACGGCCCAGACUCCUACGGGAGGCAGCAGUGGGGGAUAUUGCACAAUGGGGGAAACCCUGAUGCAGCGACGCCGCGUGGAGGAAGAAGGUUUUCGGAUUGUAAACUCCUGUCGUAAGGGACGAUAAUGACGGUACCUAACAAGAAAGCACCGGCUAACUACGUG